GAAAACUUCAUCGCCUCCAAGUCAAAAUAUGGACAAUUUUAUGUUUAGGGCGUCUUGAAAUCUUUUGACAGCUUCCGAAGUGCUAAUUUUUAACCUUUUUCAGCUGGACCAAAUCACUACUUUCCUUUAAAAUUCUGGACCCAAAAUUUUUUAAAAGUGUAAUUUCACCCACCUACUUCCAAUUUGAGGCAUCAAACAUGGAGAAAUAAAUUUGGAAGGGGUAUGAAAAAUAUUGGCAAGUAACCCACUGUCAACACUAGGGACUAUAUUCGUGAACAACUAAAAUCAAGGGACAACAAUUGUGGUCUCGGACCUAAUAUGUGUGCUUUAUGCUAAAGAUAAAGGGUCUCCAGUCAAAACAUGACCUUUUCUAUUUGCUUGACUGUUUAAACAUAUAAAUUAUUUAUUUUACUUCAGUUCAAAAUCUUUUACAUUCUCGUCAUCUUUUGGUGAUGCUGGAUAUCAUGUUAUCAGGGUUAUAACCAAUUAAAAGCUUCUGUUAAUUGGACAGAAUUAUGCAUCUUCAUAUCUCAAAUUUACAGAAAUACAUAUAUAAAACAAUUGUGAAGGGUGAUGGAUCAUGGAGUUAUCUCCCAUGUAGCAAUAUAAAAUACGUUUCUAAAGCAAAGUUAGGCCAUUCUAUUCCUCUUUCAAAAUUAGUAGAUCUGCUUUUUUUUCUAAAUUUUAAAGAGUAAUGGGAGACUUGUCCAUUUAGCCAGCUUCUUAAUGCAGCUUAAAGCAAACCUGGAAUAUUGCUAUAUAAAACCUAAUUGUUUUCUCUCUAGUUUUAUUCACAGGAGGGAGUUGGUGCGUUUGGUAUUUGGAGGCAACAAUGCAUGUUAUUUUCUUUUACAACAUGUGUUUUCUCUGUUAAAAAAUGGUACACAAUUUUUGUAUUUUUUUUUGGAUUUUCAAAUACCUGAUAAUAAUAGCUAAUAUCUCUAAGAGACAACAUAUGUAGAGUUCAUUUGUUAUUAGAAAUUUUAUAAAGGACCAUAUAUAUUUUUUGAAUAUUUCAAAUAGAAAAAAAUGCAACGAAAUUAUGAAAAGGUUACUUAGAAUUUCAUUUUAGGAAAAUGUAAUCGUGAUAAUUUAUAAAAUUAUUUUUAUAAUGUUUUUGUUUGUGAUAUCUGACAUUCAUUUUCAGGGUAUAUAUUUUACGGAUAGCAAUGAUGAGAUUAUUUAGCUUUUAUUUUUUUCUAGGUAUAUGAACAAACUAUCUUACAGUUUUAUUGGUGAUUUGUUAUAUUCUAUUUUUCAUGCUUAAGGUGGUACCUAACACUACAGGGAGAUAACUCUGUAAAAUCAGCUAAAUGUUUUAAUUACGUUGUGUCGUUGAGGGAAUAUUAAGCUUCUCAAUGAUCUCAGUUAGUAUUUGUCAAACUGCUAUAUAACCAGUGUAAUUUUUUUGAUAGAAUAGUUGGUUCAAAUUUUUUGAAAUUUUUAUAUAUUUUGUCAAAUGGUCAAAGUAAAUUCUUUUUCAAAAUUUUAUGAAAAUUAAAGGAGCCAAAUUAAUUUUAGUGAAGGUGUAAGGUACCACCUUAAAAUAAUUUUAAUCUUAUAAAAUCAAUGUAAACUGCCAGAAAGUAAUUUAAAAUUGAGUCUUUAGGAUGCUUAUUUUGGCUUUUUUGGUUUUGUUCAUACAAAGUUUUGUAUGUACGUUGCUUAAAAAAAUUUAUAAUUGAUAAACUAUCUAGUUUGGAUCUUUGGAUUGUUAAUAGACUAGCAAUUGGAUAUUUUUCUAUAAAUAAUAUCAGUAGAAACAAAAUGCAAAUAAAAUGGACAAAGGUGGGUUUUUUUUUGUUUUUUUUUUUUUUUUCUAAAGUACUGUUGUUACCCAUAUUGUAAUGUAUUUUUGUCAUUUUGUAUUUUGGAACACUGUGAAAUAAGUUGUAUUUUUUUUUCAGUUUGUAUUUUGGAACUCUGAAAUUAGUUUUUAAAACUUUUAUCAGUCCAAUAUUGGAAUUAGUAGGUCUAAAAGGACUGAAAAGCAGUUUUGUGUGACCUUACCUAUAAAUGUAAAAUUAUCUUGCCUUAUCAUAGAGAAAUUUACUAAUCAAUGCAAAUUAUGUUACAAAUCAAUGCAAUUUAUUUGUUAAUUAUUUUUGUCUUUAUUCUUACAAUUAUAACAUAUAUGAAGGGGUGUUAAG
This 2150-nucleotide long non-coding RNA is filed under the name Mytilus galloprovincialis (Mediterranean mussel). The record is from RNAcentral. Lineage: Eukaryota; Metazoa; Mollusca; Bivalvia; Mytilida; Mytilidae.